GUCGUCAGCUCGUGUCGUGAGAUGUUGGGUUAAGUCCGCAACGAGCGCACCCCUGCAUUCAGUUGCCAACGGUAAGGCCGGGCACUCUGGAUGGACUGCCGGCGACAAGCCGGAGGAAGGUGGGGAUGACGUCAAGUCAUCAUGGCCCUUAUGUCCAGGGCGACACACGUGCUACAAUGGCCGGCACAGCGGGAAGCGAGGGGGCGACCUUGAGCGGAUCCCUCAAAGCCGGUCUCAGUUCGGAUUGCAGUCUGCAACUCGACUGCAUGAAGUUGGAAUCGCUAGUAAUCGUGGAUCAGCCAAGCCGCGGUGAAUACGUUCCCGGGCCUU
This 330-nucleotide ribosomal RNA is filed under the name uncultured Thermovirga sp. RNAcentral's name for it is "bacterial SSU rRNA". It matches the Rfam family "Bacterial small subunit ribosomal RNA", at positions 1051 to 1382 of the family's 1533-position model. The record is from RNAcentral. Lineage: Bacteria; Thermotogati; Synergistota; Synergistia; Synergistales; Thermovirgaceae.